This is a non-coding RNA of Phrynosoma platyrhinos (Desert horned lizard), 76 nucleotides long. NCBI's taxonomy places the organism in Eukaryota, Metazoa, Chordata, Lepidosauria, Squamata, Phrynosomatidae. The record is from the annotation of a GenBank genome assembly.
ACCAGCGUGGCAUAUUGGUUUGAGUGUGUGUUGGACUAUGACUCUAGAGACCAGGGUUCGAUUCCCAGCUGAGCCA